AUCCGUUCAUCGCCCAACAAAGGCUUUGGCGAGAUUCUCUUCAACCCUUUCUUCCUUUCCUCGACAUCGACUGAGAACAAAAUUCACAACAAAAUUAAUUCAGAUUAGGUCUUCGUCUUUGGCGACGGCUACUACGACGCCGGCAACAAGCAGUUUCUCUCCGGGAACCAUGUCGACGCCAAUUCUCCACCGAUGGCCACAUCAUUCCUGACUAUCUCGCUGAAUUGAUGGGUAUCCCAAGAAUCCCACCGAUUCUACGGAGCUCGGCAGAGGAUCUCUCUCACGGAGCUAGCUUCACUAUGGCCGACGCCACCGUCCUCGGCUCUCCUCUCAAAACGAGUCAAAAUGAAUGGUUGCUGAUAGCAGAUGUUACUCAAUCGUGUUGGCUACUCUCCUAAGAUCAGCCACAGAGAGCUGGUAGAAAUGGCAGAGCACCGGAAGGAAUUGGAGAAGAUGGCAAAACCCGUUCUUGAUACUCUAAGAAACUACCAGGACUUGCCUCCGUUUCAUGUUAAUGACCAAGCUGCAAUUGAGAUGGUUAAAGGUCGACGAAGCAAUAUUCAGAAGAAAUUGUAGUUUUUAAUUUUUGUUUUUGUUUUACGCCAAAUUAGUGUGUAAACUUUUUUUAUAUAAGAGUUUUUGUAUAUUAUUUUAUGUAAUAAUGAUAAUAAAUAUUGUAUUUUAUUUUUGAUAUGUUAUUUUAAUCCAAAAAUUCCAGUAAA
Arabidopsis lyrata subsp. lyrata is the source of this 722-nucleotide RNA transcript. It is a transcript of the gene named AUGMIN subunit 1, with no coding region annotated. The transcript has 4 exons. The record is from RefSeq and is a predicted model, not a curated record. NCBI's taxonomy places the organism in Eukaryota, Viridiplantae, Streptophyta, Magnoliopsida, Brassicales, Brassicaceae.